Molecule: long non-coding RNA, 676 nt
Filed under: Homo sapiens (human)
Lineage: Eukaryota; Metazoa; Chordata; Mammalia; Primates; Hominidae
Description: HSALNT0188753
Source: RNAcentral
GCUCUGACUAGUUCAGGGAGUUGGGAAAAGCUUUCGUGAAGAAAUGAUUGGUAGAUGUGAAGUGUAGUAGGCAAGGUGUGUGGGGUUGGCAGGGCCAACCCAGUUUUCUCAGGCAAAGGUGGAUGCCUGAGGUGGGAGAGCUGAGAGAAGGUGAGUAGGGCUGGAACUGAGACCCAGGAGCUCAGCAUGGGGGAGAUUGGCAAGGUAGCUGGGUAGCAGACCCCCUCAUAGUACUGGGUAGGGGGUUUACUAUUUACCCUAAGAGCAGUGGGAAGCCAUUGAAGAGUUUUAAGCAGGGGGCUAACAGUCUGAGGUGCACUUUGAAGAGCUUGUUAUAGCUGCUGAUUGGAGUGGAUGUGGGGAAAACAGUUGGGAGGCCACUGCAAUUAGAUGAAAAAAGAUGGUGGCUUGGGCAAGAUGGGUGGUGGAAAAGGAAAUGGAGAGAAAUGGAUAGAUUCAAGAAAUCUUGAGGAGGUAAAGUUAACAAGACUUGGUGAUUUAUUGGCAAGGAAGAGGGAGUUGUGGAGAGUGACUCAUAGGUUUCCAUUUGGACAAUUGAAUGGUGUGGUGCCAGUCUCUGAGACGCUUCUGAGGCUCCCCUGGAGCCUGGUAGGACCCAAAGAUGUUAGAGAGGCUCCUGAGGCAGCUUGAGAUGGGAAAGUGUGACACAGAAAAU